GACGAACGCUGGCGGCGUGCUUAACACAUGCAAGUCGAACGGAAAGGCCCUGCUUUUGUGGGGUGCUCGAGUGGCGAACGGGUGAGUAGCACGUGAGUAACCUGCCCUUGACUUUGGGAUAACUUCAGGAAACUGGGGCUAAUACCGGAUAGGAGCUCCUGCUGCAUGGUGGGGGUUGGAAAGUUUCGGCGGUUGGGGAUGGACUCGCGGCUUAUCAGCUUGUUGGUGGGGGAGUGGCUUACCAAGGCUUGGACGGGUAGCCGGCCUGAGAGGGUGACCGGCCACAUUGGGACUGCGAUACGGCCCAGACUCCUACGAGAGGCAGCAGUGGGGAAUAUUGCACAAUGGGCGGAAGCCUGAUGCAGCAACGCCGCGUGCGGGAUGACGUCCUUCGGGUUGUAAACCGCUUUCGCCUUUGACGAAGCGUUAGUGACGGUAAUGGGUAAAGAAGCACCGGCUAACUACGUG
This 468-nucleotide ribosomal RNA is filed under the name uncultured bacterium. Its description in RNAcentral is "partial 16S ribosomal RNA". It matches the Rfam family "Bacterial small subunit ribosomal RNA", at positions 28 to 507 of the family's 1533-position model. The record is from RNAcentral.